CUUUGGUGUCAUAUCGAUCGCAUUGCUGGAGCGCAAUCCUGAUCAAUUAAUCAAUAAAAAGAUUUACUCCUUUUCUUUAAUUAAACGGGAAAAAUUGAAUUCAAACGUUCCCGCCAUGUAUUUUCAUUCGCAUGGGUUGGUAGCCCUGCUUCUUUCUGAUGGCGUUGUCAACUUCACGUACAACGCCGCCAUUUUAGUUGUGUCUUUGGUGUCAUAUCGAUCGCAUUACUGGAGUGCAAUCCUGAUCAAUUAAUCAAUAAAAAGAUUGCUAUUGUUCACUAGAGGAAAGUGAUGUUGAAUGCUCCCAAAUGACAAAAAAGUAAAUUUGAAUGGAUUUCAUUGAAGGAAUUCAGGGAUUUAAUUCUAUGAAUAAUUUAAAGUGUGUUAGAAAGGUAUAAUGGUUUUUUGGAAGACCAUCGUAAUAUUCUAAAGUGUACCAAAGAUUAUUGGUUUAAAAUAUUUUUUAUUCGAAAUUCUGGCUAAUCGAAAAGAUUAUUUCUACUUUCAUUUUUUGGAUUUCAAGACUUCAUGGAUUUGGUUGUGAUUCAAAAUACAAGGAUUGAUGUCAUCCGGAGCUGAUUGGAGACGCUGGAGAUUCUACAAGGAACGACAUCAACGAGCGUUGUGGCAUUUUUUUCGAUGAAUACCCUACUUGGACUAUACACUCUGCCUGCAAAUGAAACGAUGGGACUGACUUUAGCAGUCGCAACGAAAUCAGCGAUCGGUGAGUCACUUUUACUAACAUAGAUAUUUAAAGUUAGAUAGUCAGGGC
This is a long non-coding RNA of Leptopilina heterotoma, 772 nucleotides long. RefSeq lists it as uncharacterized. The record is from RefSeq and is a predicted model, not a curated record. NCBI's taxonomy places the organism in Eukaryota, Metazoa, Arthropoda, Insecta, Hymenoptera, Figitidae. The transcript has 7 exons.